AUACGGAGGGUGCGAGCGUUAAUCGGAAUUACUGGGCGUAAAGGGUGCGUAGGCGGCUUGAUAAGUCGGAUGUGAAAGCCCCGGGCUUAACCUGGGAAUUGCAUUCGAUACUGUCAGGCUAGAGUAUGCCAGAGGUUGGCGGAAUUCCUGGUGUAGCGGUGAAAUGCGUAGAUAUCAGGAGGAACACCAGUGGCGAAGGCGGCUAACUGGGGCAAUACUGACGCUGAGGCACGAAAGCGUGGGGAGCAAACAGAAUUAGAUACCCUAGUAGUCC
This 274-nucleotide ribosomal RNA is filed under the name uncultured bacterium. RNAcentral's name for it is "partial 16S ribosomal RNA". It matches the Rfam family "Bacterial small subunit ribosomal RNA", at positions 523 to 796 of the family's 1533-position model. The record is from RNAcentral.